This 497-nucleotide ribosomal RNA is filed under the name uncultured bacterium. Its description in RNAcentral is "partial 16S ribosomal RNA". It matches the Rfam family "Bacterial small subunit ribosomal RNA", at positions 28 to 507 of the family's 1533-position model. The record is from RNAcentral.
GAGGAAAGAGGGAGGAGGGAUGAAUACAUGCAAGUCGAGCGAACGGACGAGAAGCUUGCUUCUCUGAUGUUAGCGGCGGACGGGUGAGUAACACGUGGAUAACCUACCUAUAAGACUGGGAUAACUUCGGGAAACCGGAGCUAAUACCGGAUAAUAUUUUGAACCGCAUGGUUCAAAAGUUAAAGACGGUCUUGCUUUCACUUAUAGAUUGAUCCGCGCUGCAUUAGCUAGUUGGUAAGGUAACGGCUUACCAAGGCAACGAUGCAUAGCCGACCUGAGAGGGUGAUCGGCCACACUGGAACUGAGACACGGUCCAGACUCCUACGGGAGGCAGCAGUAGGGAAUCUUCCGCAAUGGGCGAAAGCCUGACGGAGCAACGCCGCGUGAGUGAUGAAGGUCUUCGGAUCGUAAAACUCUGUUAUUAGGGAAGAACAUAUGUGUAAGUAACUGUGCACAUCUUGACGGUACCUAAUCAGAAAGCCACGGCUAACUACGUG